AUUGAACGCUGGCGGCAGGCCUAACACAUGCAAGUCGAGCGGAAACGAUCCUAGCUUGCUAGGAGGCGUCGAGCGGCGGACGGGUGAGUAACGCGUGAGAAUCUACCCAUGAGUGGGGGACAACCCGGGGGAAACUCGGGCGUAAUACCGCAUACGCCCUACCGGGGUAAAGCAGGGGACCGUUCGGGCCGUUGCGCUGAUGGAUGAGCUCGCGUCGGAUUAGCUUGUUGGUGAGGUAAAGGCUCACCAAGGCGACGAUCCGUAGCUGGUCUGAGAGGAUGAUCAGCCACACCGGGACUGAGACACGGCCCGGACACCUACGGGAGGCAGCAGGUGGGGAAUCUUGGACAAUGGGGGCAACCCCUGAUCCAGCCAUGCCGCGUGUGUGAAGAAGGCCUUCGGGUUGUAAAGCACUUUCAGCAGGGAGGAAGGCUUACCCCUAAUACGGGUGAGUACUUGACGUUACCUGCAGAAGAAGCACCGGCUAAUUUCGUG
This 495-nucleotide ribosomal RNA is filed under the name uncultured bacterium. RNAcentral describes it as "bacterial SSU rRNA". It matches the Rfam family "Bacterial small subunit ribosomal RNA", at positions 29 to 507 of the family's 1533-position model. The record is from RNAcentral.